RNAcentral lists this ribosomal RNA (383 nucleotides) under uncultured eukaryote. Its description in RNAcentral is "partial 18S ribosomal RNA". It matches the Rfam family "Eukaryotic small subunit ribosomal RNA", at positions 592 to 976 of the family's 1831-position model. The record is from RNAcentral.
CAAUAGCGUAUAUUUAAGUUGUUGCAGUUAAAAAGCUCGUAGUUGGAUUUCUGGUGGGAGCGAUCGGUCUGGCGCUUAGCGCGAGUACUUGCAUCGUCUCCGGCCAUCCUUGGGGAAAGUCUGUCUGGCAUUAAGUUGUCGGGCAGAGGAUCCUCAUCGUUUACUGUGAAAAAAUUAGAGUGUUCAAAGCAGGCUUAUGCCGUUGAAUAUAUUAGCAUGGAAUAAUAAGAUAGGACUUUGGUACUAUUUUGUUGGUUUGCGCACCAAAGUAAUGAUUAAUAGGGACAGUUGGGGGUAUUCGUAUUCCGUUGUCAGAGGUGAGAUUCUUGGAUUUACGGAAGACGAACUACUGCGAAAGCAUUUACCAAGGAUGUUUUCAUUAA